Oncorhynchus kisutch (coho salmon) is the source of this 364-nucleotide long non-coding RNA. RefSeq lists it as uncharacterized. The transcript is spliced from 3 exons. NCBI's taxonomy places the organism in Eukaryota, Metazoa, Chordata, Actinopteri, Salmoniformes, Salmonidae. The record is from RefSeq and is a predicted model, not a curated record.
UCUCUGUUCUCCCUCUACCAGAAGGCGUUCAAAGACACCAGUCAGUACGUUGUCGGGGAGCUGUCUGCUCUGGAGAGCGAGCAGCGCCACAUCGACGCCCGGGCGGCGCGCGUGGAGAAGAGGCUACGCUAUCUCAUGGACACAGGGAACAGUAAGGAAGAGGAGGAGGCCAUGAUGCAGGAGUGGUUCAUGUUGGUCAACAAGAAGAAUGCUCUGAUCAGGAGACAGAACCAACUCUCUCUACUGGAGAAGGAGCACGAUCUGGAGCGACGCUUUGAGCUGCUCAACAGAGAGCUGAGAGCCAUGAUGGCCAUCGAGGGUAAGACAUUUACCCUUCAGGUCAUUUAGAAGACGCUCUUAUGAC